UCUUUACCUUAAAAUUUAUAUUUAAACUAAAGUAGUAUAGACAUAAUUUUAUUUAUUAAGAGUAAUCUAUGUUUGAAAUUUUAAAGACUUGGCGGUGUUACAAAUCCUUCCAGGGGAGCUUGUUUAUUAAAUUGAUAAUCCUCAUUUUAUACUUACUUUUUUUUGAAUUGUUUAACAGUUUGUAUAUUGCUGUCGUCAGUUUAUUUUGUAAAAUUUUAAAAACAUAAUAAUUAAUAGUUGUGAUGAUAAGUCAAAAUGCAGCUUAUAAAAAAGGUUUAUUAAAUGAGCUACAAUUUAUAAUUUUUGAGUGCGGAUAUAGACUAUGUAAUUAGUUUUUGAAGUUGGACUUGGUAGUAAUAAAUAAAAUAGUGUGUUAUUAUGAAUUAGGUUUUGUAAUGCG
Molecule: ribosomal RNA, 400 nt
Filed under: Sepiadarium kochi
Lineage: Eukaryota; Metazoa; Mollusca; Cephalopoda; Sepiida; Sepiadariidae
Description: partial 12S ribosomal RNA
Source: RNAcentral